RNAcentral lists this ribosomal RNA (273 nucleotides) under uncultured Staphylococcus sp. RNAcentral describes it as "partial 16S ribosomal RNA". It matches the Rfam family "Bacterial small subunit ribosomal RNA", at positions 90 to 355 of the family's 1533-position model. Lineage: Bacteria; Bacillati; Bacillota; Bacilli; Caryophanales; Staphylococcaceae. The record is from RNAcentral.
UGUUAGCGGCGGACGGGUGAGUAACACGUGGGUAACCUACCUAUAAGACUGGGAUAACUCCGGGAAACCGGGGCUAAUACCGGAUAANAUUUUGAACCGCAUGGUUCAAUAGUGAAAGACGGUCUCGGCUGUCACUUAUAGAUGGGCCCGCGCCGUAUUAGCUAGUUGGUAAGGUAACGGCUUACCAAGGCGACGAUACGUAGCCGACCUGAGAGGGUGAUCGGCCACACUGGAACUGAGACACGGUCCAGACUCCUACGGGAGGCAGCAGCA